GGAUCGUAAAGCUCUGUUGCCAAGGAAGAACGUCUUCUAGAGUAACUGCUAGGAGAGUGACGGUACUUGAGAAGAAAGCCCCGGCUAACUACGUGCCAGCAGCCGCGGUAAUACGUAGGGGGCAAGCGUUGUCCGGAAUUAUUGGGCGUAAAGCGCGCGCAGGCGGUUCUUUAAGUCUGGUGUUUAAACCCGAGGCUCAACUUCGGGUCGCACUGGAAACUGGGGGACUUGAGUGCA
This 237-nucleotide ribosomal RNA is filed under the name Paenibacillus lautus. RNAcentral's name for it is "partial 16S ribosomal RNA". It matches the Rfam family "Bacterial small subunit ribosomal RNA", at positions 420 to 650 of the family's 1533-position model. The record is from RNAcentral. Lineage: Bacteria; Bacillati; Bacillota; Bacilli; Caryophanales; Paenibacillaceae.